RNAcentral lists this ribosomal RNA (497 nucleotides) under Staphylococcus epidermidis. RNAcentral describes it as "bacterial SSU rRNA". It matches the Rfam family "Bacterial small subunit ribosomal RNA", at positions 1 to 480 of the family's 1533-position model. The record is from RNAcentral. Lineage: Bacteria; Bacillati; Bacillota; Bacilli; Caryophanales; Staphylococcaceae.
UUUAUGGAGAGUUUGAUCCUGGCUCAGGAUGAACGCUGGCGGCGUGCCUAAUACAUGCAAGUCGAGCGAACAGACGAGGAGCUUGCUCCUCUGACGUUAGCGGCGGACGGGUGAGUAACACGUGGAUAACCUACCUAUAAGACUGGGAUAACUUCGGGAAACCGGAGCUAAUACCGGAUAAUAUAUUGAACCGCAUGGUUCAAUAGUGAAAGACGGUUUUGCUGUCACUUAUAGAUGGAUCCGCGCCGCAUUAGCUAGUUGGUAAGGUAACGGCUUACCAAGGCAACGAUGCGUAGCCGACCUGAGAGGGUGAUCGGCCACACUGGAACUGAGACACGGUCCAGACUCCUACGGGAGGCAGCAGUAGGGAAUCUUCCGCAAUGGGCGAAAGCCUGACGGAGCAACGCCGCGUGAGUGAUGAAGGUCUUCGGAUCGUAAAACUCUGUUAUUAGGGAAGAACAAAUGUGUAAGUAACUAUGCACGUCUUGACGGUACCU